AUUGAACGCUGGCGGCAGGCUUAACACGUGCAAGUCGAGCGGGGGAAGGUAGCUUGCUACCGGACCUAGCGGCGGACGGGUGAGUAAUGCUUAGGAAUCUGCCUAUUAGUGGGGGACAACAUCUCGAAAGGGAUGCUAAUACCGCAUACGUCCUACGGGAGAAAGCAGGGAUCUUCGGACCUUGCGCUAAUAGAUGAGCCUAAGUCGGAUUAGCUAGUUGGUGGGGUAAAGGCCUACCAAGGCGACGAUCUGUAGCGGGUCUGAGAGGAUGAUCCGCCACACUGGGACUGAGACACGGCCCAGACUCCUACGGGAGGCAGCAGUGGGGAAUAUUGGACAAUGGGGGAAACCCUGAUCCAGCCAUGCCGCGUGUGUGAAGAAGGCCUUAUGGUUGUAAAGCACUUUAAGCGAGGAGGAGGCUACUUUAGUUAAUACCUAGAGAUAGUGGACGUUACUCGCAGAAUAAGCACCGGCUAACUCUGUGCCAGCCGCCGCAGUAA
RNAcentral lists this ribosomal RNA (500 nucleotides) under uncultured bacterium. RNAcentral's name for it is "partial 16S ribosomal RNA". It matches the Rfam family "Bacterial small subunit ribosomal RNA", at positions 30 to 523 of the family's 1533-position model. The record is from RNAcentral.